Molecule: ribosomal RNA, 822 nt
Filed under: uncultured bacterium
Lineage: Bacteria
Description: bacterial SSU rRNA
Rfam family: Bacterial small subunit ribosomal RNA
Source: RNAcentral
AUACAUGCAAGUCGAACGGAGAGUUUUGUAGCAAUACGGAUCUUCUCAGUGGCGAACGGGCAAGUAACGACUUGGUGACCUGCCCCGAAGUGUGGGAUAACAGUCCGAAAGGAUUGCUAAUACCGCAUGUGAUCAUUGGUCUUAGAAUCUGAUGAUUAAAGCAGUAAUGCGCUUUGGGAGGGACCUGCUUCCCAUCAGCUAGUUGGUGAGGUAACGGCCCACCAAGGCUACGACGGGUAAGGGACCUGAGAGGGUGGUCCCUCGCAAUGGCACUGAAACACGGGCCAUACACCUACGGGUGGCAGCAGUAGGGAAUAUUGGGCAAUGGGCGAAAGCCUGACCCAGCAACGCCGCGUGCACGAUGAAGGCCUUCGGGUCGUAAAGUGCUUUUCUGAGGAAUGAGUAAGGACAGUACCUCAGGAAUAAGCCUCGGCUAACUACGUGCCAGCAGCCGCGGUAAAACGUAGGAGGCGAGCGUUAUCCGGAUUUACUGGGCGUAAAGCGUGUGUAGGCGGUUCGGCAAGUUGGAUGUGAAAGCUCCUGGCUUAACUAGGAGAGGUCGUUCAAUACUACCAAACUUGAGGGCAUCAGAGGAAGGUGGAAUUCCCGGUGUAGUGGUGAAAUGCGUAGAUAUCGGGAGGAACACCAGUGGCGAAAGCGGCCUUCUGGGAUGCUCCUGACGCUCAGACACGAAAGCUAGGGUAGCGAACGGGAUUAGAGACCCCGGUAGUCCUAGCAGUAAACGAUGUAGACUUGGUGUCGGAGGUGUCAAAACCUUCGGUAUCGUAGCUAACGCGAUAAGUCUACCGCCUGGGGACUACG